Molecule: long non-coding RNA, 508 nt
Organism: Symphalangus syndactylus (siamang)
Lineage: Eukaryota; Metazoa; Chordata; Mammalia; Primates; Hylobatidae
Source: RefSeq, a predicted model, not a curated record
AUCCACACACACUUGAACAUCUCCCUGACCUGCUCAAGACUAUUCAGAUCUACAAAGUAGGUGCCAAACUCUGUGCUAUGGCCCCAACCACCCAGGCCAGGGCUGUUUCCAACCCAGGAGCCCUCAAGUGAUGGUGAAGGAUGACAAGGCCCCUGAUGCAGAAGAAGAGCCAUUUUAUUAGGAGAAGCUGCUCCUCUGGCCUCACCCAUCAAGCAGAGAAAUUUGCAGGCUUCCAGGGGAAUGGGUGCAGUCACCAAGGACCAGGUGGAUCCUCUCCUGCUUAUCUCUCACAGCUAAGAUUUCUGCAGUGAUGUUCAGCUUCACAGCCAGCCUCAACAGACUUGUACCGACCAGAGGCCUGCAAAGGAGACAGCCCCACUGGCAACAGGCUGACUGCUUUACACAAUUUCAUCUUCAUCACAACCCUAAGACAUGGGCACCUGUUACCUGCAUUGCACAGGUGAGGACCACUGAUCAGGGGCCUAAAAAGGAGACAGCCCCACUCCAC